Molecule: long non-coding RNA, 328 nt
Organism: Gigantopelta aegis
Lineage: Eukaryota; Metazoa; Mollusca; Gastropoda; Neomphalida; Peltospiridae
Exons: 3
Source: RefSeq, a predicted model, not a curated record
GGGACACCGGUUACAAAGAUGCGGAGAGCGAAGGCUUAUGGAGGGAUUUAGACACCAACAAUCAACGCUUAUACGAUCAACGUUUGGAGACACUGAAAAACAUUUAUUCUGAAGCUAUUAACAACAUUCCAUUUGAAGACGAAGAUAGUUUUACUGAAGAAUUCACGGAACGGCCACGGCGGCCACGGCGGUCACGACGUUCACUGCAGGACAGGAUCAACGCCAGGGUGGAGAUCCUGGUUGUCGUCGACAACGCCAUCUACCGGGAGUAUCUGAAGAAGUCCAGGAACCAGAAGCGUGAAGCUCUAGCGUUUCUUCGCCAAUAUUA